Molecule: transfer RNA, 17 nt
Filed under: Pleurozium schreberi
Lineage: Eukaryota; Viridiplantae; Streptophyta; Bryopsida; Hypnales; Hylocomiaceae
Also listed under: 5 other names
Description: partial tRNA-Phe
Source: RNAcentral
AAAAAAGCCGGAAUAGC